This 485-nucleotide non-coding RNA is filed under the name Pongo abelii (Sumatran orangutan). The record is from RNAcentral. Lineage: Eukaryota; Metazoa; Chordata; Mammalia; Primates; Hominidae.
UCUGCUCUCUGGACACAGUAGUUCUCAAACUGGACAGUGUCAAUCAGCAUCCUCCGGGAGGUCUGGGAUGGCCCCGGAAAUACCUGUGUCCCACCUAUCCCAGCAGGAGAUGUUGCUGAGAUAGGUGCAUUAAAGUUUAGGCUUUCCAGAGUUUAUAUUGCUAACAACUUGAAAGGAAAAAAGCUAACUAGAGAACUGACUGGUCUUAUUUGUUUUAGAUUCUAGGCUUUACUAGGACUUCCUACUCUCAGAAUCUCUGGACUAUAAAUGCUGGGUGGGGUGGGAGCUGGGAAUGUUAUUCUGGGAAAUUAAUCACAAAUGAAAAGAAAAUCAACUCUAAGACUCCAGUUAGAAGAUUUUUGAAAAUGGCAGAACAUGACUGGCCUUCAUUCAAGUCAGAAUAUUUAAAGCAAUCCUUGCUAAGAACUUGAUUUUGUAUAAGCAGUCCCUUAAAUACAGUUGCUUCUCAGGAAAACCACACACAA